CCUACGUGAGGCAGCAGUGAGGAAUAUUGGUCAAUGGGCGCAGGCCUGAACCAGCCAAGUCGCGUGAGGGAAGACUGCCCUAUGGUUUGUAAACUUCUUUUAUAAGGGAAGAAUAUCGACUACGUGUACACAGAUGCCCGUACCUUAUGAAUAAGCAUCGGCUAACACCGUGCCAGCCGCCGCGGUACUACGGUGGAUGAGAUCGUUAUCCGGAUUUAUGGGGUUUAAAGGGUGCGUAGGUGGUAUUUUAGGUAAGUGGUAAAACGUCGGGGCGUCACCUUGAUUGGCCAUUGAAACUGGAGUACUAGAGUACAGACGAGGUAGGCGGAAUGAG
RNAcentral lists this ribosomal RNA (334 nucleotides) under uncultured bacterium. RNAcentral describes it as "partial 16S ribosomal RNA". It matches the Rfam family "Bacterial small subunit ribosomal RNA", at positions 338 to 670 of the family's 1533-position model. The record is from RNAcentral.